RNAcentral lists this ribosomal RNA (654 nucleotides) under uncultured Neocallimastigales. RNAcentral describes it as "eukaryotic LSU rRNA". The stretch from base 230 to 384 matches the Rfam family "5.8S ribosomal RNA". The record is from RNAcentral. Lineage: Eukaryota; Fungi; Neocallimastigomycota; Neocallimastigomycetes; Neocallimastigales.
GACUGCGGAGAUCAUUAAAAAAUAAUCACUGUAUUGUGAUUUUAAUAAUCAUCCUACCCUUUGUGAAUUUGUUUUGUAAAGAAAAUUUAUGUUGUCUAUCCCUGGUGGUUUUUUGGAAAAGUUGAAAAACUUUUUCGAAUCCUCAGGGACUAGGCUUUCAUAGACCUUUUUUUUAAAUUAAACUUUUUGUAUUCAUUUGUCUAAAAUUUAUUUUUAAUAAUUUAAAAACAACUUUUGACAAUGGAUCUCUUGGUUCUCGCAACGAUGAAGAACGCAGCAAAAUGCGAUAAGUAAUGUGAAUUGCAGAAUACGUGAAUCAUCAAAUCUUCGAACGCGUAUUGCACUUUUCUAGUUUACUAGAAAAGUAUGUCUGUUUGAGUAUCAGUAAAAUAUUCUCAUAAAAAACAUUGUUUUUUAUGGUUAUGAGUGUUUUACAACGAUAAACAAGUUGUUUCACUUUAAAUUGAUUUUUAAAAGCCAAUUUGGUUUUAUCUAAUAAAAUUGGAUAAAAUUUUCCCGUAAAAAGGAAUAAACUUUUCAGUUUUAAAAGGUAAAACUUUAGUUGAGCCUAAUAAAAGGAAAUUUAACAAAAUAACUUGAUCUCAAAUCAGAUAAGAGUACCCGCUGAACUUAAGCAUAUCAAUAAGCGGAGGA